Molecule: long non-coding RNA, 2324 nt
Organism: Equus caballus (horse)
Lineage: Eukaryota; Metazoa; Chordata; Mammalia; Perissodactyla; Equidae
Source: Ensembl
GUAUUCGGAGCACCAUUCAGGCUGAUGCUCAUGCUGCUACUGAACUGCCCCAGACACUGGUGUCAUCUCCAUUACCUGAAGAGGACAAUGAAAUAUCUCCUUUACCUUUAUCCUGCUUCUGUGUAGCAGAGUCUCAAAUGAAUACAGACUUCAGGGUCGUGGCUCUUUGAGAAUGUCACACAGCACUUUACGCCCACAGCAUACAAUGCUUCCAGAAAGUCUAGGUCAAGGCAGCCGGACAGUACCAGGAGCCUCAGGCCCUGUCGCUGAAGCUGCCCCAUCGUGCCACACUUCACAACUUCCAAGGUAGAGUUCUCUCUGAAAACUCACAAUCUUGCCAUCUGUCUCCGUUCUCAUAUCUCAAUCUAUUCAGCUUAUCAGUCUCCAUGUGCCACUUUCCCAUGAGGCAUUUCAACAUCCAUGUAAAUCAGAAGUGAUGCAUAAACUAGGUGUCAGGAGCAUAGGGGAGCACAAGGCAUUAUCUAUUUCUGUGAGCCAUGCUUAACAUACAGCUACUCAGUACCAAAGAACUCAGUCGCUACAAUAUAGAGAUAAUUACAAACAAAUGAGUGACAUCAACGAGAUCUAAGUUGUCAUAAAUACAAUUUCAUAUUUUUUUAUGAAUGAAAAAAUAUUUAUCUUUUUUCAAAAAUUCACUUGGAAAUUAUUUUCAUGAUACAGUACCAUGAUCAUGAUUUUAUCAUACUCUCCAACAACAUCAAUAAGAAAAACCAGCUCAGGGCAGGCCCUGUGGCAUAGUGGUUAAGUCCAGCACACUCUGCUUUGGCAGCCCAGGUUCACAAUUUUGGAUCCUGGGCAUGGACUGACACCACUCGUCAAGCCACACUUUGGUGGUGAUCCACAUACAAAAUAGAUGAAGAUUAGCAAGGUGUUAGCUCAGAGUAAAUUUUCCUCAACGAAAAAAAGAAAAGAAAGCUCUCAAGCUCUGAAGCUUUUCCUAUACUCUGCUCUUCUCCCCCAAGGCCCUAACAUUCCACACACAUUCCAUGGUUGCCAGGAUGCCCUGCUUUAUUCAGCAUUACAUCACCAGAUGCUAGGAACAUAUCUGGAGUAGAGUGGACUUUUGUGACUCUGAAGUUUGGCCCAGUGUAGUCACAGUCGAUUGCUAGUAAUAUUCAGAUUGAAUCCAGAGAAGUCAACUGCAGAGUUCAAUCGCGCAAUUGUGAUGAUACAAACGUAGCCUCCUUUAUGUUAAGGAUGGCGAUACUAGAUGGUCGUCUGAGGCGAUUGAGGCCUGCUCAUCACACUUGAGUGAGCUCGAAAGCUGACCCUUCAGUCCUGGUCAAGCCAGAUGAGAUGACUGCAGAGCUGGGAGACAGCUUGACUGCCGAGACCCUGGGCCAGAAUCGCUCAGCUAGGUGGCUCUAGGAUACGGGAACUUCAGAACCUGCACGAGAUAAGAAGUAUAUUAACCUGCUAAAUUUUGAUGAAUUUGUUCACAGCAAUAAAUAACAUACAGCUAGAGACUGAACGAGAACUAUUUUCUUGGCCAUACUAGUUAAGAAUAAGUAAAAAAGAACUUGAAGACUGAUGGUAGAAUUCACUUUGUGGCAUUUGAAAUUCAUGGUGUAUGGGUAUUGGUAACAAGUGCUUAUUUCAGACUUUAGGUUUGAUCAUUGUCAAUGUGUUGUUUUGCCUUUUAUGCAACAAAGCCUCAAGUUAACAUGGCCUUAUCUGUCUGCUUUCCAUCAAAUUAUAGUUGCCUAUCUAUCUAUCCAUCUGCCCAUCUAUCCACUCAUCUACCCAUCCAGCCAUUCUCUCGUUGAUCUAUUUUUCUCUCUACAGAUUUGGACCAAGCAAACCCCAUCUGAACAUUAACAGUCAAGAUUAUUGGGUCUAGAGAGGGCAAAAUCUUCUUUCCUGACUUAUUCUAUCUUCAAGAGCUAAAUUUAUUUUUUAAUGUGCUAUUAAUUAUAUCAUGAUACUUCAUGGUGUUAAGAGGUAAAAUCAUAAUAUAAAAUCUCAGGCAAAUAAAAUGAAAAAAAAUAGUUGAAGGCAGAAAAAAACUAAGUAAAUAAUAAAAACAUGCCUAAUACAGUUUAGUCAAUCUCUAUUGAGACAGGUAUACUGUGUGACAUUUUGCUAAACAGGUGGAUUUACUUUAACCAAAUCAUAUUUUAUUAGAACUUCCCCUGUUUAGACAAUGUAAAACGAAAGUUUUAGAUUUACUGUUAAAAGUGCAGACAACCGAAUCCUAAAAUUAAAAAAUUCUUUUUACUACUAACAUAGUAACUCUUUCAGUUAUGUAUUGCUGCACAGCAAACCAACCCAAAACUUAAUUCCUUAAAACAACAACAAUGUGG